UACGGAGGGUGCGAGCGUUGUUCGGAAUCACUGGGCGUAAAGGGCGUGUAGGCGGUCCGCUAAGUCUGAUGUGAAAGCCCGGGGCUCACCCCCCGGAAGUGCAUUGGAAACUGACGACUCGAGUCCCGGCAGAGGGAGGGUGGAAUUCCUGGGUGUAGCGGUGAAAUGCGUAGAUAUCAGGAGGAACACCGGUGGCGAAGGCGGCCCUCUGGACGGUGACUGACGCUGGAGACGCGAAAGCGUGGGGAGCAAACAGG
RNAcentral lists this ribosomal RNA (257 nucleotides) under uncultured bacterium. Its description in RNAcentral is "partial 16S ribosomal RNA". It matches the Rfam family "Bacterial small subunit ribosomal RNA", at positions 524 to 776 of the family's 1533-position model. The record is from RNAcentral.